UUUUUUGUUUUGAUUUUAAGGUAAAACCCGAUUUCCAUAGGCCCGCGUCCUUGAGGAAGCCGAAACGCACCGUUUCCUUAAACGGUGCGUUUUGGCUGUUGCUGCACCAAAAGAAGAGGUAUAAAUACCUCUUAUUCUUCGCACAAAAAAUCUUCUCCGCAAAAAAAGGUGUUUCCUUAGUCGGGUUUUCUUGCUCUCCAGCUUUCUUCUUCUCGCGCAGACACCAGAAACCUAGGGUUUCUGCAUUUCGUUUUUAUUUGCUUUGCAGAUAUUUAUCUUGGAUAUCACAUGAAGGCACAUCGACGAGUCUUUUCUGCAACGGAGUAAAGGUAUUUAUGCAUUGAUUUCUUUGUAGUUUAUAGAAGUAAGGUAUUGUUGUUAGAGAACUAGGGAUUCAUUGAUUUUCUGUGGUGGGCAAAGAGGAGGAAGAACUUCAUUUUGUAACACCAACCAAUGUCAAAAUACUCUGUCAAUCUCUUCUGUGCGUGUGUGUGUGUAAUGGCGGCGAAGAAGACAGACGGAGACUUCUCUUUAUCCUCAGUCGGCUUAUACGUGAUUCAGUCUCUC
This 567-nucleotide long non-coding RNA is filed under the name Carica papaya (papaya). RNAcentral's name for it is "long non-coding RNA (CPAP_LNC008673)". The record is from RNAcentral. Lineage: Eukaryota; Viridiplantae; Streptophyta; Magnoliopsida; Brassicales; Caricaceae.